CCCCUAGAUGUUCUGGGCCGCACGCGCGCUACACUGAACAGUUCAACAAGUCUUAACCUUGGCCGAUAGGUCUGGGUAAUCUUUGAACGCUGUUCGUGAUUGGGAUAGACCUUUGCAAUUAUGGGUCUUCAACGAGGAAUUCCUAGUAAGCGCAAGUCAUCAGCUUGCGUUGAUUACGUCCCUGCCCUUUGUACACACCGCCCGUCGCUCCUACCGAUUGAAUGGUCCGGUGAAGCGUUCGGACCGUGGCCUUUGGACGGUUCGCCGUCUGUUGGCUGCGGGAAGUUCGUUAAACCUUAUCAUUUAGAGGAAGGAGAANUCGUAACA
This 327-nucleotide ribosomal RNA is filed under the name uncultured eukaryote. Its description in RNAcentral is "partial 18S ribosomal RNA". It matches the Rfam family "Eukaryotic small subunit ribosomal RNA", at positions 1470 to 1796 of the family's 1831-position model. The record is from RNAcentral.